GAACCCUUCGGGGGGAAGUCGACGGAAUGAGCGGCGGACGGGUGAGUAACACGUAAAGAACCUGCCCUCAGGUCUGGGAUAACCACGAGAAAUCGGGGCUAAUACCGGAUGGGUCAUCGGACCGCAUGGUCCGAGGAUGAAAGGCGCUUCGGCGUCGCCUGGGGAUGGCUUUGCGGUGCAUUAGCUAGUUGGUGGGGUAAUGGCCCACCAAGGCGACGAUGCAUAGCCGACCUGAGAGGGUGAUCGGCCACACUGGGACUGAGACACGGCCCAGACUCCUACGGGAGGCAGCAGUAGGGAAUCUUCCACAAUGGACGAAAGUCUGAUGGAGCAACGCCGCGUGAACGAUGAAGGCCUUCGGGUCGUAAAGUUCUGUUGUAAGGGAAGAACAAGUGCCGCAGGCAAUGGCGGCACCUUGACGGUACCUUGCGAGAAAGCCACGGCUAACUACGUGCCAGCAGCCGCGGUAAUACGUAGGUGGCAAGCGUUGUCCGGAAUUAUUGGGCGUAAAGCGCGCGCAGGCGGCCUCUUAAGUCUGAUGUGAAAGCCCCCGGCUCAACCGGGGAGGGCCAUUGGAAACUGGGAGGCUUGAGUAUAGGAGAGAAGAGUGGAAUUCCACGUGUAGCGGUGAAAUGCGUAGAGAUGUGGAGGAACACCAGUGGCGAAGGCGACUCUUUG
This 678-nucleotide ribosomal RNA is filed under the name bacterium. RNAcentral's name for it is "bacterial SSU rRNA". It matches the Rfam family "Bacterial small subunit ribosomal RNA", at positions 68 to 731 of the family's 1533-position model. The record is from RNAcentral.